UACGUAGGUGGCAAGCGUUAUCCGGAUUUAUUGGGCGUAAAGAGAACGCAGGCGGUCUUUUAAGUCUGAUGUGAAAGCCUUCGGCUUAACCGGAGUAGUGCAUUGGAGACUGGGAGACUUGAGUGCAGAAGAGGAGAGUGGAACUCCAUGUGUAGCGGUGAAAUGCGUAGAUAUAUGGAAGAACACCAGUGGCGAAAGCGGCUCUCUGGUCUGUAACUGACGCUGAGGUUCGAAAGCGUGGGUAGCGAACAGG
RNAcentral lists this ribosomal RNA (253 nucleotides) under uncultured bacterium. RNAcentral's name for it is "partial 16S ribosomal RNA". It matches the Rfam family "Bacterial small subunit ribosomal RNA", at positions 524 to 776 of the family's 1533-position model. The record is from RNAcentral.